GACAGAGGGGGCAAGCGUUGCUCGGAAUCACUGGGCGUAAAGGGCGCGUAGGCGGGAUGGCAAGUCGGUCGUGAAAUCCUUCGGCUCAACCGAAGAACGUCGGCCGAUACUGCCGUUCUUGAGGGAUGCAGAGGAGAUUGGAAUUCCCGGUGUAGCGGUGAAAUGUGUAGAGAUCGGGAGGAACACCGGUGGCGAAGGUGGGUCUCUGGGCAUCUCCUGACGCUGAGGCGCGAAAGCGUGGGGAGCAAACGGG
This 253-nucleotide ribosomal RNA is filed under the name uncultured bacterium. Its description in RNAcentral is "partial 16S ribosomal RNA". It matches the Rfam family "Bacterial small subunit ribosomal RNA", at positions 524 to 776 of the family's 1533-position model. The record is from RNAcentral.